CGUACCGAUAUAAAGUGCGAUGGGGGGACGGAGAAAGGUAGGUCAGCCCACUGUUGGAAUAGUGGGUUUAAGCGAGUAGGCGUGUGGCUUAGGCAAAUCCGGGCUGCUUUAACGCUGAGACGUGACGACGAAGUCUUCGGACUGAAGUGAUUGAUCCUAUGCUUCCAAGAAAAGCCUCUAAGCUUCAGCUUUAUAUUGACCG
This 202-nucleotide ribosomal RNA is filed under the name Iodobacter fluviatilis. RNAcentral's name for it is "partial 23S ribosomal RNA". It matches the Rfam family "Bacterial large subunit ribosomal RNA", at positions 1440 to 1644 of the family's 2925-position model. Lineage: Bacteria; Pseudomonadati; Pseudomonadota; Betaproteobacteria; Neisseriales; Chitinibacteraceae. The record is from RNAcentral.